Long non-coding RNA from Mus musculus (house mouse), 425 nucleotides. RefSeq annotates it as predicted gene, 39063. The record is from RefSeq and is a predicted model, not a curated record. NCBI's taxonomy places the organism in Eukaryota, Metazoa, Chordata, Mammalia, Rodentia, Muridae. The transcript has 3 exons.
GGCGGCGGCCCCGAUAAUUUCUGCCCAGAACUGAUGGAAGCCCUUUAGGGAACUCCCAGGGUGACCAUGGCACUGACCAAAAGCUGGUUCCCUCAGAGAUGGUGCUUGUGGAAACUCUAGCUUGUCACACGGAUGCUGGGAUCUGAACUCCUGUCCUGGUCCUCCUGCUUGAAUAUCAAAUAGUCUUAGCCAACAAAACCACCUUUCCAGCCUUUACAAACAGACUGGCCUGAUCUCAGACUCCAGAAGUUUGAUCCAAUUGGGCAGGUUGGGCUGAACAGAGCUUCCUUUUCACCUAACUGGCAUGCCUUUCUACCAUGAUGUUUGCUGGGACCCCCUCAACAACCACCUGAAACUCCAGGUCCAGGAGUCCAAUGCCCUCUUCUGACUUCUGUGGGCAUUGCAGACAUGCAUACACGCUGAAA